AGGGAAGCGACGGGGCGGUGGUCGGAGAAGCGGGACUCGCGGCGCUCGUACCACGCCUGCUCCAUCCCUUCCCCGCGCCACAGGAUGCGGUCGCACCUGCAAACCCAAUCCAAUCCAAUCAGACUCAUUUUAUUCCGACCAAUUUCCAAUCAGUAUUGCACUAGUACGUGUGUGCAAAAUAUUGCAUGCAUGCUUAGAUUAAGUUGAAGGGAUUGGCAGUACGUAGACCGAUCACGCUAUAGCCAGCUAGAUUAAUACUAUUUCAGUUAAUGUUUGUUAAUUCGUUAAUUGCCCCGAUUGACAAGGACUCUGCCGGUGACCAUGGACUCUUCUCUAGUGAGUGAUGUUGUUGUUGCGGUAGCAGUACUAGCUAGUGCUACUGCUAGCUAGCAUCACUAGUUAACUCUGAUCGAGCUAAUCAGGCGCAGAGCAUCCAUCAUGUCACGUGCGGUCCUGCCUUGCAAGUUAAUUAACCUCUGAUUUUUUUUCCCUGACUAGUGUCGUCUCUGUGGCCAUGGCCGGCUCGAACCAUCCAUCGGUCGAUCCACAGGGUAAACUGAACCCAGAGUUUAAUUACCAUGCCGGUGUGCGCUUCUUCUUCUCCCUCGACGACGACGACUUGCCGGAACCAGAGGAGGAAGAAGAGUUCAUCGUCAUGGCGUAGGUGUCGGAGUCGGCAAGCGCCCGCCACUCGUUCCGCUCCAGCAACCCCCGCAUGUCGCCGCCGGACGUCGAGAGCCGGUAAUUCAGGUCGCCCAGCCACACCACCUUGCUGCAAUUGACAUCCAUUCGUUCAGUCAAGAGGAAUGCCCAA
Molecule: long non-coding RNA, 814 nt
Organism: Brachypodium distachyon (stiff brome)
Lineage: Eukaryota; Viridiplantae; Streptophyta; Magnoliopsida; Poales; Poaceae
Exons: 3
Source: RefSeq, a predicted model, not a curated record